AGCUCCACACCUAGUACAAACAUUCCAUGACGCAAUUGAUCACAUAUCCCUACCCAAAGACGUACUAUUGGCGCACAUUGUUACACUGCCAAACCAGGCAAAUCACCCACACUCCCCCAAAAUUUCAGACCUAUAUCACUAUUGAACACAGACGCCAAAAUCUUCGCAAAACUGCAUGCAACCCGAUUAAGCAACAUUCUUCCCCACAUUAUUCACAACGACCAUGUGGGAAUCGUGGUGGGCAGACAGGGAUCGGAAAAUACAAGAAAAGUACUAAACAUAAUGCAUGGCUAUAAGACGCCACGGAAAGGUGGGUUAUUAGACGCCGAAAAAGCCUUCGAUCGCCUACAUUGGGGCUUUCUAGAAGCAGUAUUGCUCAAAUUUGGAAUACCUGAGGGGUUUCUGUCGGUGGUGAGGGCCCUCUACAGCCAUCCUACCGCACACGUGCUCAAUGCGGGUUCCUGUCUGACACCUUCUUGAUCACAAACGGGUAGUGAUGUCCCGAACGGUUCGCUGGCGAAUAGUUCCCG
Pelobates cultripes (western spadefoot toad) is the source of this 530-nucleotide non-coding RNA. The record is from the annotation of a GenBank genome assembly. Lineage: Eukaryota; Metazoa; Chordata; Amphibia; Anura; Pelobatidae.